CGGUGAGCCACCAGCCCUAAAACACACACGGAGGACAUUUUUUUCAGUCAAGAAAUAAUCGAGCCUAGGUGAUUUUAUGAAGACUACAGAAGCUUAUUUACAAACUCAGAGACCAGUAACAUAAAGUCCGAAGUCCUGUGCCUACGACGUGGUGUCGCUGCCAGAAGCACGGCGGAUGGCAGGCAUGUGCAGAGAGAGAGGCAAAGAGACCAAGGAUCAGAAUGGCUGCAUA
Tupaia belangeri chinensis (Chinese tree shrew) is the source of this 232-nucleotide long non-coding RNA. RefSeq lists it as uncharacterized. NCBI's taxonomy places the organism in Eukaryota, Metazoa, Chordata, Mammalia, Scandentia, Tupaiidae. The transcript is spliced from 3 exons. The record is from RefSeq and is a predicted model, not a curated record.